UACAGAGGGUGCGAGCGUUGUCCGGAAUCACUGGGCGUAAAGGGCGCGUAGGCAGCUUGAUAAGCGUGCGGUGAAAGCCCGGGGCUCAACCCCGGGUCGGCCGUGCGAACUGUCGAGCUGGAGCACUGUAGAGGCAGGUGGAAUUCCGGGUGUAGCGGUGGAAUGCGUAGAGAUCCGGAAGAACACCGGUGGCGAAGGCGGCCUUCUGGACAGUGACUGACGCUGAGACGCGAAAGCGUGGGGAGCAAACAGG
Molecule: ribosomal RNA, 253 nt
Filed under: uncultured bacterium
Lineage: Bacteria
Description: partial 16S ribosomal RNA
Rfam family: Bacterial small subunit ribosomal RNA
Source: RNAcentral